Non-coding RNA from Arvicanthis niloticus (Nile rat), 79 nucleotides. The record is from RefSeq and is a predicted model, not a curated record. NCBI's taxonomy places the organism in Eukaryota, Metazoa, Chordata, Mammalia, Rodentia, Muridae.
CUCUUCUUUCCUCUAAAACCAGAGCCACAUGGACAAAGUUGCAGAGUUCUGUGGCUUGCUGGGGCUGGACCAUGGUCCU